This is a long non-coding RNA of Nematostella vectensis (starlet sea anemone), 671 nucleotides long. RefSeq lists it as uncharacterized. The record is from RefSeq and is a predicted model, not a curated record. Lineage: Eukaryota; Metazoa; Cnidaria; Anthozoa; Actiniaria; Edwardsiidae. The transcript is spliced from 2 exons.
AACAAGGCUCAAAAAUAAUAAAAAAUUUGCAGUCCAGGAUUCCUGAACCAACGAGGAAAGCCUGGCGCUUUCGAAAAGUGGGGUCACUUUUCGCUCGUGAGUGCGAUAUAAUUUACAUUUAAAAGCCGGCAAAACCCCACGAAAACCCGUCGUAUGGCAAUAAAACUUGGUAUGGUUUGUUUUCAAGUCCGAAACUACUGAUAUAUUGGUAUAAACCCAGAAAUUAAACACGAAGGCGCGGUAUAAAAGGGUGCUUCCAUUGGAAGCAUCAGCUCAUUUGUCAACUCUACCUUCUAGUCCGAUAGAAUGUGUAAAAAAGGAAACUCAGUAGAAAUAAAGCUACGGAACCAACGUGAUUUAUGCAAAAAAGGAGCAAACGCAUGAUAGGAAAACAACGAUUUCAAACCUCGACAAAAGUUAUACCCAAGAAGCAAGUCAUGGUGACAUCUGAAUAAUCAACAAGAUAUAUUCCUGAAGAAAAAGCAGAUACAUAGACAUGUAUUACAUUUUCCAUGUGAUUUUAAAUCAUAAACAUUCCUUUGUAAAGGAAACAUGUUUUGUUGCUAAAAGAUUGAUUGAUGUGUUAGUGAAGUGUAUAAAGCAACCAGUCAUAUUUUAUAAACUGCAUUAUAGAUUAUACUUUUGAAUAAACCAAAAAGCUUUCUCUUUUA